UUAAUCUAAUCAACAAACUCUCAAAGGUUCGUUCAUUUCCCUGAAUGAAUAAAUAUCCAGUGAUUCUUCUCAUCUCCCCUCUAUAUCUACCCCCUCUUUCUCAUUCCUAGCUGCGCCGCCGUGGCCAAAGCCUUCACGUGAUCUGGUCGCAGAAGAUGUGGUAGUAUCGCCCGUUUAUUCCUCCGCAUAGACUAAUCUCACUGAUUGAUGGAUUUCCUUCUCCCUCUUCAUCUUCUCAACCGAUGGAGCUGCUCCACAGGUCUCCACGCCCUUUGCUCUUGAGGAUUCAUUGGGUCUCUAUCAGAAGUUGGUGUGCCGGAGCGGAGCAAUCUAAAACCCAACUAGACACGGUAUUUUGGAUUUCAAUUUUGUCAUGCUUCAAUCCUCACGCCGUAUCAGCCUUGGCUGGGUUCGCCAGAAAACCUUGCAACCAAAAUUUUGAGUAAUAUGAAGAGUCAGUUCUUCUACUGUGUCCAGCACCCCCCCCCAAGUGUAUUGGUUCAAUUAUGUCCUCGACAUCACAAUCCAUGUAAGUGGAAAAAAUUGUGUUUCACUUCAUGUAAGUCUAAAGUGUGAGUUGCAUGUCGUCAUGAUAACUAUAUAUUAUUAAUUAACUUUACGGAUCAUCCGAUGGAUGUUUAAAAUAUACUCCCUCAUUAUACUGUUUGUCAGUUCUAAUUUAUAACCGUUUCAACAAGCAAAGUAAGUUCUAAUUGUUUCUGUUUUUAGAAUAAGAUAGAUAGAAAUGUUUGAGUCAGCAAAAUCUGAGAUCUACACACUGCUGCCUGCUCGGAGCCUUGUGGUGCUUCCCUCUAUCAAGCAUGUUUCUAUAGUUGAGUGCUCAGCAGUGGAGAAUGUUCUUGAAUGUUCGGCAGUGGAGAAUGUUCUAUAGUUGCAAACUGCUACAUGUCUCAAUGUUUCUAUAGUUGAAUGCUCGACAGUGGAGAAUGUUCUCAUGCACGUGCUUCUCUGGGAUGUAAGUGUGUGAAGACAAACAAGGACACUGUACUAUUUCUGGUUUGGCGAUAGAUGUUACCAUUUUUUCCACCUAUGCUAGAAGGUGCUCAGUUUUCAAACAUGCAGGUGUAGUUACAAUCAAACAUUCUUCUAUAAGGUUUAAACUUUGAUAUUA
Molecule: long non-coding RNA, 1132 nt
Organism: Triticum aestivum (bread wheat)
Lineage: Eukaryota; Viridiplantae; Streptophyta; Magnoliopsida; Poales; Poaceae
Exons: 3
Source: RefSeq, a predicted model, not a curated record